UAGGGAAUAUCGGUAAUGGGCGAAAGCCUGAACCAGCAACGCCGCGUGUGCGAUGAAGGCCUUCGGGUCGUAAAGCACUUUUUGGAGGGAUGAGGAAGGACAGUACCUCCAGAAUAAGUCUCGGCUAACUACGUGCCAGCAGCCGCGGUAACACGUAGGAGGCAAGCGUUAUUCGGAUUUACUGGGCGUAAAGCGCGUGCAGGCGGUUCGGAAAGUUGGAUGUGAAAGCUCCUGGCUUAACUGGGAGAGGUCGUUCAAUACUUCCGGACUUGAGAGUGGGAGAGGGGGGUGGAAUUCCGGGUGUAGUGGUGAAAUGCGUAGAUAUCCGGAGGAACACCAGUGGCGAAAGCGGCCUCCUGGCCCAUUUCUGACGCUCAGACGCGAAAGCUAGGGUAGCAAACGG
This 403-nucleotide ribosomal RNA is filed under the name uncultured bacterium. RNAcentral's name for it is "bacterial SSU rRNA". It matches the Rfam family "Bacterial small subunit ribosomal RNA", at positions 355 to 775 of the family's 1533-position model. The record is from RNAcentral.